This 253-nucleotide ribosomal RNA is filed under the name uncultured bacterium. Its description in RNAcentral is "partial 16S ribosomal RNA". It matches the Rfam family "Bacterial small subunit ribosomal RNA", at positions 524 to 776 of the family's 1533-position model. The record is from RNAcentral.
UACAGAGGUCUCAAGCGUUGUUCGGAUUCAUUGGGCGUAAAGGGUGCGUAGGCGGCGCGGUAAGUCGGGUGUGAAAUCUCGGAGCUUAACUCCGAAACUGCAUUCGAUACUGCCGUGCUUGAGGACUGGAGAGGAGACUGGAAUUUACGGUGUAGCGGUGAAAUGCGUAGAUAUCGUAAGGAAGACCAGUGGCGAAGGCGGGUCUCUGGACAGUACCUGACGCUGCGGCACGAAGGUCAGGGGAGCAAACGGG